UUUCGUUACGUUCCCGCCAAAUGUAAUAUAUAGUAACUUGUAAUGCUAGCCUCAGGAGAAUAGAAACAAGCCUGUCAUGUGCUAAGUGGAGAAUGCGAGCCAAAAUUUCAUUCCAGUCAGGUGAUGGCGCCGGUCGGAGUAAAGAUCCAAUAAUCUGAACCCAUAAGCCAUAUGUAUAUGGGCAAGCAAAAAAACAAAUGGUCUCUUGAUUCCUCCGGUUCUCCGCAGAAAGUGCAGCCCUGUAUUACUCUCCAAGUUCGCAUUCUGGAGCCAGUAUUGAGUCGAUCUUUAACAGCUAACCAUGUUAUAAAAGCAUAUCGCGGCACCCCGUGUUUAAACCAAAUC
Molecule: long non-coding RNA, 345 nt
Filed under: Brassica rapa (field mustard)
Lineage: Eukaryota; Viridiplantae; Streptophyta; Magnoliopsida; Brassicales; Brassicaceae
Description: long non-coding RNA (BRAP_LNC001569)
Source: RNAcentral